AAAACAAAAUAGGGAAUUAGAAAUCAUGGUUAUCAUCCCCAAAGCAUUCGUUGGAUCCUUAUUCUUUUCUCAACACUAUUACUUGUUAAUUUACUCAUCUAAUUAAGGUAAAUAACUACCUGAAUUUGAAGCACAACAUAAGUCAUUUGAAUAGAAAUUUGUGAGGUUAUUCCAUGUUAUAAAUAUCCCAAAAUGGCAGGACAUCAAUGCAUGUGCCUUAAUACCUAAAGAGUAUAGUGUGUAUAAACUUCACUACUACACAAAGAUAUACAUAUGAAUAGCACAACUUCAUCUGGUGAUAUUCAUAGCACUAUAGCACGCUCUAUUGCAUGCUAUUACUACCUUCGGCAUUGUAUAUAAGAAGAUUUUUGGAGUUUGUGUUAUAUUUGUAAGCAGAAGUCACAAAUUACUUUGAUAUCCUUAGAAAUGCAUUUAUUUCACAUAUGAGCAGGUAUGAAAACAUUAAAGUCAGAGUUAUAUUAUGAAAAAAAAUUCAAAAUUAAGACAUUAAAUGAACCUCCUCGGACUUGAUUAUUUUGUUUUUUUUCUUCUUUCUAUAGGACAAAAGGGAGUAAUGACUAUGACCGUCAUAUGUUUCACCAUGAGUUCUAAAAGCUCAAAGCACUCUUCCCAUGGGACCCAUGGUGUUUUUAACAGUUUCAUGCAGCAUGCCCUACUGAAAAGCAUAUGUGCUAUGAUUGAAUUGAUGAUCAUUGCCACACCACACACAACCUGACUUAUAACAGAGAAGUAACUUCUGCCCAAAUAACACCCAACUACAAUUUCCCCUGUUUAAACCUCACAUUCAGGGGCGGUUCUAAGGCCCGGCGACCCCGGGCACUUGCCCGGGCUCCGGGCCAAAUUUUUUGCAAUUUUUUGUGUAAAUCCCUAUGAAUUUCUUAUAUAAACCCCUAUAAAUUGGGCAAUUUCUUUACAUUUUUUAUUAUUUGCUUGCAAUUUCUUAUGUACGCCCUAUAAAUGUGUGGCAAAUUUUUUUUUGCCCGGGCUUUACAAUAUUCCUGGCUCUGCCACUGCUCACAUUUAUCUUAGUUCCCUUUCCUCUGCCUUAUUCAAAAGUUGUCUUGGUUUGUCAUGUGAUGCUUGUACACCCUGUUUUGUUAAAAGAUUUUAUAUAUAUAUAUAUAUAUAUGAAAGACCUUAGCAAUAAUUCCAAACUAGUAGAUUCCCCUUACUGUAACAUUGACAAGGAACGCUAAAAUAUUCCUUUGACAGCCAAUAGACACCGUAAGCAUAAAUUUAAAAAGAUUGCUGAUUUGAAAUCAUAACUACAAGUUUCUCUCUUGUUACUGGGAACCUGCAAAGGUUUAACUUUAGCUUGUGUAAGUGAUGAGAAACUCUACAUAACAACUUCCCUCAUCCAAAUUAAUGGAACAGUCUCGCCAGACCCAAUAAGUUAUCCCCCUCAUAUAACCUCAACAUUUAUACCACUACAACAUUAAAGUGUAACGAUAUAGGGUUAUCAUAGGCUAUUGUGGACCUGUCUACACCAUUAGUUUUCCAUCGACUUUUAGCUAGUACAUAUUAUAAAUUCCAUAGAUAUGUAAUGUGAAGUUUGAUGGUACCAUAGCUUGUAUACAUAAGUUUUGUCAAGUAAAUACUUUGUCGUAGGUAACAUCCAUACCAUGGGAGCAUCUAAUUAGUAGAAGUUAUUUCAACUUAUCUUAUUAUAUAAUAGUAAGUACUUGUGUAAGUAUUUGGAAGAGCCUAUGGAUACCAUACCAUAAGCUAUUUUCAGCUUAUCUUUACGAACUAGCUUAUAAAAACAACUUAAACAGAACUUACAUUAAGUCCUCCUUAUUCCCUAUUCAAUCGUCAAAACAGUUUACACUUAACAGAUAACCACAUGCCCAUUAAGCGAUUAUUGAAUUAGUGUUUAACUAAACGGUCGACUAAAACACCCCCCGUACACCUUGUUUUUAUUGAGAAUUGCUUACAGCCUUAACCUACAAUGAGAAAAUGAGAGCAUUCAUCGCAACCAAAUUAAUAUGAGAAGAAUGAUACAUACGAUU
RNAcentral lists this long non-coding RNA (2030 nucleotides) under Medicago truncatula (barrel medic). RNAcentral describes it as "long non-coding RNA (MTRU_LNC003610)". The record is from RNAcentral. Lineage: Eukaryota; Viridiplantae; Streptophyta; Magnoliopsida; Fabales; Fabaceae.